This is a long non-coding RNA of Callithrix jacchus (white-tufted-ear marmoset), 430 nucleotides long. Lineage: Eukaryota; Metazoa; Chordata; Mammalia; Primates; Cebidae. The record is from Ensembl.
UUGAAUUUGAAAGAUACUUUAUGCAACAGAAAAGCAAUUUUGUUCCUGGUUAUCAGAGGGCAAGAAGUGAACUAGCAAUUUAAUGCUAAAUAUUUUUAACCCCUGGGAAUCUGGUUUGCUUUGAGCCCAAUAAAGAUUAUAUUUUUUUCAAUCCAUCUCAGCUUAUUGUGUUUCAUAUAACAGAGGAGUAUUUUGUUACAAAUUUAGUCAAUUUAAAGUAAUUACCUUUUAUUCUUACUGGGUUUGGAUUUGAUGUUACAGUAUCUCAAAUUUCCAUUUUUAAAAGGGAAGAAGGAAGAUUUCUAUUCCUACCAGUGAAGACUCCUGAAGCGUGGGAUACUGUUUUGCUCUUACAAAGGUAAACUUGAUGAUGUAGUGAAACAGUAUUGCCUGGAAUUCCUGAAGAGAAGACCAGUCAUUAAAAUUUGAG